GCUUCUCGCUGGAGUGCGCACCGAGCGGCAGUGACUUCGCCGCUGCUGUAGUUCCCCGGCUGGAUGCGGUGACUGGUGCCAGUGCUCAGGCGCCCGCUGCCCUUGACCUCCCGCCCCGCGAGCCCUAACUCAGCGCAGGAGGACCGGCUGCCGCCGCCGCCGCCGCCAGAGCCUUGGCUGCCCAGUUGCCAGUCCUACCACGGUCGGAGGUAACCUUCCUGGCUCCAGUCACAUGGCCAGAUAAGGUGGUGUGUGUGGGCAUGAAUUAUGUGGACCACUGCAAAGAACAGAACGUGCCCGUGCCCAAGGAGCCCAUCAUCUUCAGCAAGUUUGCCAGCUCCAUCGUGGGGCCCUAUGAUGAGGUGGUCCUCCCACCACAGAGCCAGGAGGUAGAUUGGGAAGUGGAGCUGGCCGUGGUCAUUGGAAAGAAAGGCAAGCACAUCAAGGUGAAGUGGAAAAGGUGGGCUCCCAGGCCAGAGUGCAGCAGAGUCCCCAGCUCCUGCCUCUCCUAGUUCUGACCUCGCUCACCAACACAUGGUGCCAGCUGUCCCUGACACUAGGAAGCAGUCAGCCUCCUUGCUCCCUGACACUGCCUUUCCCUUCACCCACCUUUGGCUGGCUCUGGCUACUAACAUGGGAUAACAGCUUUGAGAUCCCUUGCCACAGGUGUUGGUGUCACCCAUGAUCUAUCCUCCUGUAUGGCCAAAUCCCCUGCCCCCAUAGGCCACAGAUGCCAUGGCCCACGUGGCCGGCUUCACUGUGGCUCAUGACGUGAGUGCUCGUGACUGGCUAACAAGAUGCAAUGGGAAACAGUGGCUGCUGGGAAAAACCUUCGACACCUUCUGCCCUCUGGGCCCUGCCUUGGUGACCAAGGACAGUGUAGCAGAUCCACACAACUUAAAGAUCUGCUGUCGAGUGAAUGGGGAAGUGGUCCAGAGCAGCAACACCAACCAGAUGGUAUUCAAGACAGAGGACCUGAUAGCCUGGGUGUCCCAGUGAGUGACAGGGGCUAUCCUGCCAGCCCCGCUCCACCUGCCACACAUGUGGAGGCUGACCUGAGCCCUCCACCUUUGGCUGUGGCCACCUCAGCCAGCCCCUGGUCUCACCGGGUCCUUUUGCUUUGCUCCAGGUUUGUUACCUUUUACCCAGGGGAUGUCAUCCUGACUGGGACCCCCCCACCUCCACCCAGGUGUCGGUGUAUUCAGGAAACCUCCUGUCUUUCUCAAGGUCUCUGAAGGUCCAGACAGCACUGAUGGCGAGCUUUGGGUCCGCACACUCUGGAAAGAAGAGAGAAGUGAAGGCUCUAGGUAGGGAGAACAGAGAGCCACUGGGCACAGGCUUCUCUCCUCUUGUUUAAAGAAGCCCAGGGAGGGAUAGAGCUCUGACUGGACAGAAGACUGUACUCUGCAGCCUGCCUUCCUAGAGUUGGGUUGUCACUGUCCUGCAGGGGGCAGCAGCCACCAGCAAACACCACUGCCUGCAGGAGCCUGGGCUGACUGGUUGGGACUCACCGAAGAUCCCUUCUUCCUGGGCGGUGGCCUGCAGGAACUGGAACAGCUGCUCUGUGUAGCCCAACUCUGCAGAAGAGAGAAGACCUAGACCUGGCACCCAGCACAGACACAGCCUGCCUCGAGGACUGCAAGGGAACAAGGGCCUCACCAGUAUCGGGCAGCUGGCCCUGGCGGAGGAAGGCGGCAGCCUGUGCAAAGGCCUUGAGCAGCGGGCUGAGCAGGCGGCAGAGGAAAAGAAAGAAAUCUGGGCAGUGUGACUGCUGGCUGAGCUGGAGGGGACAGGCCGGGGUGAGUGCAGCUCCCCACCGCCUCCCUACCACCUCCCUCCAGGGGCAGCUUUUUGAAACACACCCUGAAGUACCGGCCGUCAGCCUCUCCGAAGUCAUCACUGUCACUAUCAGUAAAGUCCCCACUCGGUUUCCACA
Molecule: long non-coding RNA, 1936 nt
Organism: Homo sapiens (human)
Lineage: Eukaryota; Metazoa; Chordata; Mammalia; Primates; Hominidae
Source: Ensembl